This 627-nucleotide long non-coding RNA is filed under the name Scleropages formosus (Asian bonytongue). RNAcentral's name for it is "lncRNA (ENSSFOG00015032462.1)". Lineage: Eukaryota; Metazoa; Chordata; Actinopteri; Osteoglossiformes; Osteoglossidae. The record is from RNAcentral.
GCGUAGCGGUCUGGUUGGUGUGUAGCGGUUGACCAGUCUAGUAGUAGAUAGCUGGGAGCAGUUCUAUUGAUGCGUUUGUAGCCUAGGUUAUAACCAGGGACUGAACCAGGCUAUUAUUAAAAAUAUUGCAGUUGAAAUUACGUACAACGGUACUCGCACCAUUUUAUAUUUCAAGAGGUAUUAUGCUGAUCAAACCGACAUACUUCGGUUCUUCCUAAAUUCAGAUUUAUCGGAAGUUUGUCGAUACAAAAAGCGAAGGACGAGCGCCACCUGAUGCGAGUGUUCGUAAUUACAACGUGUACUAUGUGAAUGUACAGGGCUGCAGCCAAUCAGAGCGGCACUACAGAAUCUGUAAACAACACAACUUGCGCGACUUCGGAAGGCGCUGGAGCGCGAGGGUGUCGGGAUGUGCGCGCGGUCCUCACCACUGCUCACAGACGAGUCUGGAUUAGCAGUGGAGGAUGAACCCAUACCAGGGUUGACGGGUCUCCUGGGAGAGUCUCGGCGCUGUGGGUGAUGAGGACCUUCUGGAGAGGAUUUCCACUAAAGCGUUCCAUCACAAACCCUGACGCCAUACUGCGUGUGUCCUGUGAGUGUGGGCGGAAGACGAGCAAGGAGAGAUUUUGG